GGCGGACGGGUGAGUAACGCGUGGGAAUCUACCCAGUAGCGGGGGAUAACUUGGGGAAACUCAAGCUAAUACCGCAUACGCCCUAAGGGGGAAAGGCCGGGAUCUUCGGACCGGUCGCUAUUGGAUGAGCCUGCGUAAGAUUAGCUAGUUGGUAGGGUAAAGGCCUACCAAGGCGACGAUCUUUAGCUGGUCUGAGAGGAUGAUCAGCCACACUGGAACUGAGACACGGUCCAGACUCC
RNAcentral lists this ribosomal RNA (239 nucleotides) under uncultured bacterium. Its description in RNAcentral is "partial 16S ribosomal RNA". It matches the Rfam family "Bacterial small subunit ribosomal RNA", at positions 97 to 339 of the family's 1533-position model. The record is from RNAcentral.